GAUGAACGCUGGCGGCGUGCCUAAUACAUGCCAGUCGAGCGAACAGAUGAGGAGCUUGCUCCUCUGACGUUAGCGGCGGACGGGUGAGUAACACGUGGAUAACCUACCUAUAAGACUGGGAUAACUUCGGGAAACCGGAGCUAAUACCGGAUAAUAUAUUGAACCGCAUGGUUCAAUAGUGAAAGACGGUUUUGCUGUCACUUAUAGAUGGAUCCGCGCCGCAUUAGCUAGUUGGUAAGGUAACGGCUUACCAAGGCAACGAUGCGUAGCCGACCUGAGAGGGUGAUCGGCCACACUGGAACUGAGACACGGUCCAGACUCCUACGGGAGGCAGCAGUAGGGAAUCUUCCGCAAUGGGCGAAAGCCUGACGGAGCAACGCCGCGUGAGUGAUGAAGGUCUUCGGAUCGUAAAACUCUGUUAUUAGGGAAGAACAAAUGUGUAAGUAACUAUGCACGUCUUGACGGUACCUAAUCAGAAAGCCAUGGCUAACUACGUG
This 497-nucleotide ribosomal RNA is filed under the name uncultured bacterium. RNAcentral describes it as "partial 16S ribosomal RNA". It matches the Rfam family "Bacterial small subunit ribosomal RNA", at positions 28 to 507 of the family's 1533-position model. The record is from RNAcentral.